CGCUCCUGACUUCCAAAUCUGGGACGUGUCAUGCCUUUUCUGGGCUCACGGUCGUUUCCUCAAGCUUCCCUCACUAGCCUCCUUAACCAUGCAUUUGACUUGAACAGGCUAAGCGCGGGACCUGAAAAUCUCCUGUCCACGCACCGGUGCGCGAACUCUUGCCCCUGAACCUGGCACUCAACCUCACCUCCUCCAAAGUGGGUUUCUUCCUUCUCACCGAGCUCAUCCUGGUGCAGCUAGUCUGGCAAAUUUUAUUCCCGAGGCAAAUUUUCCCGGGACAAACAUUUCUCCCUGCUCGCUCCUCCCCACUCCCCAUCUGCAGAGGAAGAACGGUAUUUGAGAAGUACUUCAAUUCAUGGAAGCAGCUACUUCCUUCACUUACUAGCUGGACACAGUUUGAGGAUCACUGA
This 410-nucleotide long non-coding RNA is filed under the name Callithrix jacchus (white-tufted-ear marmoset). RNAcentral's name for it is "lncRNA (ENSCJAG00000084261.1)". Lineage: Eukaryota; Metazoa; Chordata; Mammalia; Primates; Cebidae. The record is from RNAcentral.